RNAcentral lists this unclassified non-coding RNA (380 nucleotides) under soil metagenome. Its description in RNAcentral is "partial contains 5.8S ribosomal RNA, internal transcribed spacer 2, and large subunit ribosomal RNA". The stretch from base 1 to 120 matches the Rfam family "5.8S ribosomal RNA", at positions 35 to 154 of the family's 154-position model. The record is from RNAcentral.
GAUGAAGAACGUAGCGAAAUGCGAUAAGUAAUGUGAAUUGCAGAAUACAGUGAAUCAUCGAAUCUUUGAACGCACCUUGCACCCUUUGGCAUUCUGAAGGGUAUGCUCGUUUGAGUGUCAUUGUACUCUCACACUCCCGAUCUUUGCAUUGGGAGCAGUGGACUUGGGUUUGCUGCUUCACCGUCGCUUACCUCAAAUAGGUUAGUGCAACUCUUGGUUGGACAUAGUACGGCGUGAUAAGUGUUCUUCGCCGGUGCCUCGCAAAGAGGGUGGCCGAUCGGGAUGUUGUGCUCCAAACCGUCUUCGGACAAUCUCUGACGACUUGACCUCAAAUCGAGUAAGACUACCCGCUGAACUUAAGCAUAUCAAUAAGCGGAGGA